UCCUACGGGAGGCAGCAGUGAGGAAUAUUGGUCAAUGGGCUAAGGCCUGAACCAGCCAAGUCGCGUGAGGGAAGACGGUCCUAUGGAUUGUAAACCUCUUUUGUCGGGGAGCAACGAGGCCACGUGUGGCCGAAGUGAGAGUACCCGAAGAAAAAGCAUCGGCUAACUCCGUGCCAGCAGCCGCGGUAAUACGUAGGUGGCAAGCGUUAUCCGGAUUUAUUGGGCGUAAAGGGAACGCAGGCGGUCUUUUAAGUCUGAUGUGAAAGCCUUCGGCUUAACCGGAGUAGUGCAUUGGAAACUGGGAG
RNAcentral lists this ribosomal RNA (305 nucleotides) under uncultured bacterium. RNAcentral's name for it is "bacterial SSU rRNA". It matches the Rfam family "Bacterial small subunit ribosomal RNA", at positions 337 to 639 of the family's 1533-position model. The record is from RNAcentral.